AACGAACGCUGGCGGCGCGUCUUAAGCAUGCAAGUCGAACGGCAAGAGAGGAGCUUGCUUCUCUCCUAGAGUGGCGGACUGGUGAGGAACACGUGGGUAAUCUACCCUUAAGAUGGGGAUAGCUGCUAGAAAUAGCAGGUAAUACCGAAUACACUCGGCAUAUCACAAGAGGUGUUGAGGAAAGGAAGCUACGGCUUCGCUUGAGGAUGAGCUUGCGUCCCAUUAGCUAGUUGGUGAGGUAAAGGCCCACCAAGGCGACGAUGGGUAUCCGGCCUGAGAGGGUGAACGGACACAUUGGGACUGAGAUACGGCCCAAACUCCUACGGGAGGCAGCAGCUAAGAAUAUUCCGCAAUGGACGGAGGUCUGACGGAGCGACGCCGCGUGGAUGAAGAAGGCUGAAAAGUUGUAAAAUCCUUUUGUUGAUGAAGAAUAAGGGUGAGAGGGAAUGCUCAUCUGAUGACGGUAAUCGACGAAUAAGCCCCGGCUAAUUACGUG
RNAcentral lists this ribosomal RNA (496 nucleotides) under uncultured bacterium. Its description in RNAcentral is "partial 16S ribosomal RNA". It matches the Rfam family "Bacterial small subunit ribosomal RNA", at positions 29 to 507 of the family's 1533-position model. The record is from RNAcentral.